Molecule: non-coding RNA, 72 nt
Organism: Phrynosoma platyrhinos (Desert horned lizard)
Lineage: Eukaryota; Metazoa; Chordata; Lepidosauria; Squamata; Phrynosomatidae
Source: the annotation of a GenBank genome assembly
GCCAGCAUGGUGUAGUGGUUUGAGUGUUGGACUAUGACUCUGAGGGCCAGGGUUCAAAUACCUGUUCAUCCA